AGUGAACGCUGGCGGUAGGCCUAACACAUGCAAGUCGAACGGCAGCACAGUAAGAGCUUGCUCUUACGGGUGGCGAGUGGCGGACGGGUGAGGAAUACAUCGGAAUCUACUUUUUCGUGGGGGAUAACGUAGGGAAACUUACGCUAAUACCGCAUACGACCUACGGGUGAAAGCAGGGGAUCUUCGGACCUUGCGCGAUUGAAUGAGCCGAUGUCGGAUUAGCUAGUUGGCGGGGUAAAGGCCCACCAAGGCGACGAUCCGUAGCUGGUCUGAGAGGAUGAUCAGACACACUGGAACUGAGACACGGUCCAGACUCCUACGGGAGGCAGCAGUGGGGAAUAUUGGACAAUGGGCGCAAGCCUGAUCCAGCCAUACCGCGUGGGUGAAGAAGGCAUACGGGUUGUAAAGCCCUUUUGUUGGGAAAGAAAAGCAGCAGGUUAAUACCCCGCUGUUCUGACGGUACCCAAAGAAUAAGCACCGGCUAACUUCGUG
RNAcentral lists this ribosomal RNA (492 nucleotides) under uncultured bacterium. RNAcentral describes it as "partial 16S ribosomal RNA". It matches the Rfam family "Bacterial small subunit ribosomal RNA", at positions 29 to 507 of the family's 1533-position model. The record is from RNAcentral.